AUGCUUAUUGAUUUCUUCAACAGAAUCUAUAUAUGAUUUUGAUAUGCUUUUGCGUUUGAAAAAAAGUUAGCAAACAGUCUCUAUCUAUUAGGGAUCAAGACUGUUUACAGAAAUUGUGAAUUCUGAUUGAUUAGCUUCAAGCUAUGGUCUAAACCCCUUUGUUGUGUUGCAUUUUGUGAGUAACAAAGCCUUUUACAUUAGGGACAGAGCGGAAUAGUCAUAUAUAUGCUUACAACUUUCUAUUGAAUUGAUAUCCACCUCCUUUCUCUAACUCUAAUCAUAUAUAUAUAUACUUUACAUUGUUAUAUUGAGUUUCUCUAGUUUUGAAGUUCACAUAUAUAGAAAAGAAUUAAAAGCUACUAAUGAUAAUGCAUUUACCACUCGAUUCACAAUUUACCUUAUGCCCACUAAUUAGAGGAGUGGAGAGAGCUCUGUCGUUGAUAGAAUUAGUAGUUUGCCUUGUGAUCUUUUUGAGAAGAUAUUAGGAUGCUUGCUUUUCAAUUAUACGAAAAUGAAGCUAUAAGUGGGUAAUAAUUUCCGAACUAGUGCUUGAUGAGAACGUUGGCAAAGGACGACUCCUGAAAACUUGAAUGGAAUUUUUGAAGCAUGUAUUGUCAUUGCAACUGCAUUUGAGAAGAUAGGUGUUGUAACCACAACAGAUUUCAGUCAUAGGGGAAUGAAAAUGAUGGACGAGAUGAAGCAAUUCCCUCGAGCAUCACCGAACGUAGAGUUUAUAUACCAAGAAGUUGAUAUUCAUUUUUGAAAUUUUUAGGUAAACGACUCACCAUUGAGAUUGUUCGAUCCUUUUAGUUUCUUUGUGUGAUUUGUUUCAUCUCUUUCAGAAAGGAAGCAAUUAUACCCCUAAACAACAAACCAAUGUGUAGCGAUUGAAAAGUCUCUUUCGUCUCUCAUCCUUGUCUUAAUUCUGAUAGAUCAACUUCUUCCUUCAUACAAGCUACUAUUUGUGAGUAACAAACACUUUUCUAUCGCAUACCGGGUGAAAAGUCUAAUGUAGUACUAUCAAGUGGUUUGAAACAUGGGUACGAAGUGGUGAAUUUUCCCUAGUUAUCUACCUGUUAACCUUUAGAAUUGCGUGGAUUAGACAUAUAUCUUGAAGAUUACAACUAGUAGGUUUCAUAAACCCUUUGAUAUCAGGUGGAUGGUGGAAUAUAUCAAGUUCGAGAUGUCUAAGUUGUUGGAAUGUUAAAAGAUAAAAAGGUAAAUGAUAUAUAUUGCCUUAGAAUAUAUGAAGGGUGAAUUCCUAGACAUUUUUUUUGAUAAAUAUCAAGAAGACACGUCAAAUUAAGACAGCAGAGUGUAAACUUUAGUAUUGAUCCUUGAUGUAGUCGUAGGACUUGGUAAAUGAUUGUCUUGGCUUCUGGAUUGUCUUUGAAAGAUCUGAAAAAUUAACUGUGAAAAUCAAGUUUUGCACAUGUUACUCAUUUGUACCUCUAGUCUUUUGACAAAAUAUUGGUCUUCACUGUAUCUUUCAAAAGACAAGCUCCAUAGAAUUUUAUCCAGGACAUUACACGAUAAAUUGCUCAUUGUAGCAUUCUUCAUGGUUUAGUACACAAGUUUAUAAACAACUCUAGUAAUUCAAAUAUGAAAUAAAGAAAAUAUCUAAAUUCUCAUAAUUACACAUUUCAACCAUGUAUGCAUAGUCUUUUAUAACUACAAAUUCACAUUUUUGAUUGCAUAGAAGUUUAUCAUUUUACCAAUAUAAAGGGAAAAAAUAAUUAAUGAUGAAUGAGAGAGUACCUGAAUUUUUUUUUUAUUAUAUAUAUAUAUAUAAAGAUAUUUCACUUCAAUAUAUAGUUUUUUUUUGUGAGGGGGACUAGGAAGUAGGAAACUAUUUCCAUUUUCAGAAAAAGAUCAUGUAGAUAUCGAUUCUUUGCAAUGAAAAAACAUACAUUAGAUCAUGCUCAUUUUUGGAACGUCGGCUAUUUCCAUUUUUGAAAAAGAUUUAUAGAAAUCUAUACUUAAAAUAUGAGAUAUCUACUCUUGCAUUUUUUUCACCUAAAUCCACCCUGAUUACUAUCCAUAUAAUGGACAGAUCGUAAGAAAUCAUAAAUAGGCGCCAAAAAUAAUUAGGAGUUCAGCCCCUACGACUUUUGUCUAGUGGAAAGUGUGUUGCAUGGAUUAGACAUAUAUCUUGGGUUUCGGUUUGCAACCAAUGAAACCUACUAUUUAAGUCGAGAAGAAUAUACGGCCAAAUUAUAUUCUUCUCAGCCUAAAUAGUAGGUUUCAUCCGUUGCAAACCAAGAUGUAUGCCUAAUCACGCAACACACUUACCACUAGACAAAAACCCUAGGGGCGGAACUCCCAAACAUUUUGGAGCCUAUUUUUGCACACUUCAAUUUGUUUAUAAUCUUAUAGUAAUCUGGGUGGCUUUUGGUAAAGAAAUUGCUAGAGUAGAUAUCUCAUAUGUUAAGUAUAGAUUUCUAUAAAAUCUUUUUUUAGAAAUGCAAAUAGUUGUCUGGCGUUCCAAAUAUUGAAAAUAAGGUAAUUGCUUUAAUGUAGGUCUUGCCAAUUGCACGAAUAGAUUUGUGCAAGAUCUUUUUCUUGAACUGGAAAUAACUUUCUUGGCUCCCCUCGCCAAAGAUAUGUGAUGUGUAUUUAGGUGAAAUAUCCUUAUAUAGGUGUAUAUACAUUAUUGAAUCUUUUAGAUUGUAUUCAUAAAAUCACCAUUGUUGUCUCCAAUCAACAUUUUCCUCAUACUCUCACAUUCAUCAUUAUUUUUCCCUCCGAUAUUGGCGAAAUGAUAAAGCUCCAUGCAAUUGAAAAAGUUGAACUAGCUAGUAGUUAUAUAAGACUAUGUAUACAUUGCUGAAAUGUGUAUUUAUGAGAAUUUGAAUAUUUUCUUUAAUCCAGAUCUGAAUUAUUAGACUACAAACUUGUGUUUUAAAUCACGAAGAGUGCUACAAUUUGCGUAGUAAUAUCCUGGAUAAAAUUUUAAGAAGCUUGCGUUUGAAAGAUGCAGCGAAGAGCAAUAUCUUAUCAAAAGACUGGAGGAACAAAUGGGUAACACGUGCACAACUUGAUUUUCUUAGUGAGUUUUUCGCUUCUUUCAACAACAAUCAAGUAGUGAAGACAAUCAUUUACCAAGUCCUGCGAAUCCAUCAAGGACCCAUACUAAAGUUUACUGCUCCAAGACUAUUCUUAUAUCCCCCUAAUUUGACGUAUUAUUUUGAUAUUUAUUACUGGAUGUUCUUCUUGUCAAAGUGUUGAUCCAACAAUAUUUAGGUUCUCACAUCCAAAUGCCCAUUGCUUGAAAGUUUGUGGUUGACUUGGUGCACCGAAUUUGAUAUUCUAGAAAUUGAUGCCACCAAUCUCAAAUGUCAAAAUUUCUUGGAACAUCAAAUUCCAUUUGCUUCAAAAAUACCCCGAUACUUAGAAGCAUCAUUAUGUAGCUCAACUCAAGUCAAGAAUUUUUGUGGAUCCAUCACCUUUUUGUUCUUAUCUUACAAAGUUAUUCCAUUUACAUGCCAUCCCUGGAAAAACUGGAACUAGGCGGUUCAUCAAUAGAGGAAAUAUACAUUUAUAGUCUAUUAAUCAAAGUUGGUACAUAUCAUAAACCAUGGGAGGUAUACCAGAGAAUCUACCGAUUGCUCUAAAGCAUGUCAAAUUUCUCUGUAUUUUGGAUAUAUCUUUCUGAAAUAUAAUGUUGACAAGGUUCCAAGUACAGGUCACUGGUUACAAGCUACUCUAAAUUACAAUAACUUACAAUUGAAUGUGGAGUAGUAGGCAUUGUUGUGGAACCUGUUUUACAAUUAUUAUGAGCUAAAUCAAUGUCGUGUGGUGCUGUGAAGCUGCUACGAAGUGUGGAGAUGUGUUAUUUUAUUGGUUUUGAGAUGGAAAUGGAAUUUGUGAAGUCUAUAUUGGCAUGUGAACCUGUACUGAAGGAGAUCUUUGAUGGAUGAGAUGAAACAAUUCCAUCGAGAAUCAGACAACAUUAGAUUCAAAUUUGAAGAAAUAUGUACAGGUCUAUUUGCACAUAUUCAUAGAUAAACUUGAUUUAUUCAAUUCAAUUUCCUUUUGAGAUCCCGAUAUGACCUAGAUUAAUUCCAACACAUUUCUACCUAUAGCAAUUGAGGUAGAUUUGUCUUAAAUAUCCGCUUUUCCUUCAACAUCAAUCAAUGAAGUUAAUUACUUAUAUGAUCAUCAGGUAAUUGCAACAUCUGUCAAUGCCACUUUUUCAAAUAAGAAAGUCCAACUAUUUCCUUAGCUUUUGUAAAUUAUAGUUGUGUAGUUAUUGGUAAAUAUCAUAAACCACUUAUAGAUUGAAUUGUACCAUCUAUAUUUUCUUACUUCUAACCAAAAAAUAGGAGAGAUUUUGGGAAAUGAGUGUUGUUGUAAAAUGAAAAGAAAUCACAAUCGAACAUGAGAACAAUAUUGAAAAAUGUAUCAAACAUGAUUUAGGGUUAUAGAAAUAAAUCUCUGAGAUGUACUUGGACUUUAGGAACGUCGGGAAGCAUGAUGCUGUUUCAGGUUGAUCUCCGGGAAGAACUUCUACUUGCGGAUGCCUUCAAAGAUUGCAUAAUGCUUUCUUCAAUGUUUUAUGUCUUUAGGAAAUUAUGAACCCCUCUCCCCUAUUAAUAGUUGUAUGAAGUAGGCAGCUCAAGUGUAAGUGAAUUUUGUUGCCUCAUUUUGAUAGUCAUUAAGUUUAUCACAAAUGUAUUUAAUAAAGUUGCUUGUGAUUGGUCAAAACAUGUCAUUUUGGACAAUAAACGACUUUUAAUUGAUUCUUGCUCUGAUUGGGAGUUUCCAUGUCAUUUAAACAAGACAUCAUUUUGUUUCUCUUGAAUUUGAAUAGGAUGUCAUAUUCUUGAGUACGUUACAUGAGUUUGUGCCUUCAAUGAAAUUGACCAUUGGUUUGAAACUUAAUCCAUAUUUAGUAUAAAUCAGACUGAACAUUUUGAUGUGUUUACAACGUUCCCUGAGAUCUUGACCAAAAAAAAUAACAUAAAUCUUUAAGAGUUGUCCAAAUCUAUUCCGUUACAUAGGAAAUGGUAAUAAAUGUCAUUGUUUCAUAAUUUUAUGGUAAAAUCUCAAAUAUGAUAUCACACAUUGAGAAAGACUAAUUUAUGUCAUUCAUUAAAAGUUUUAAUACACAAUUCACAAGGCUUGAUAAUCACAGUCCAAUAGUCACAAUUCAACAAUCAACACGUAUCAAGUAUGUCAAUCAUAAGAGUUAAACGGAUCAAUCAGAAGUACCAAGUGCAUCAAUCACAUACUUGAUUGCAUAUGAUUGGUCUACUUGUUGAUUGUCAUAGAUACAUUUGAUACUUGUGAUUGAUCCAUUUGACUAUUGUGAUUUACAUACAUGAUACAUGUUGACUGUUGAAUUGUGACUAUUGUACUAUGAUUAUUGAGUCUUAUAAACUGUGUAUUAGAACUAUUAACUGAUGAUAGAAAUAACUCUUUUUCUCAAUGUCUGAUAGCAUAUUUGAGAUUUUCCCAUAAAAUAAUGAAUCAUGAUAUUUAUUACCAUUUACUAUGUAACGAAACAGAUUUAGACAACUCUCAAAGGUUUAUGUAAUAUUAUUUUGGUCAGGAUCUCAAGAGAACGUUGCAAACACAUUAAAUUGUUGGUAUAAUUCAUACUAAAUUUGGAUUAAAUUUCGAACUGAUGAUCCAUUUCACUGAAGGCGCAAACUCAUGUAACGUAUUUAAGGAUAUGACAUUUUAUUCAAAUUCAAGACCUACUAGAUGAUGACGUGUGUUUAAAUGACGUGGAAACUCCAAUCAGAACAAGAACCAAUCAAGAGUUGUUUAGUGUCCUAAAUGACAUCUCUUGACCAAUCACAAGCAACCUUAUAAAAUAACAUUAGUGACAAACUUAAUGACUAUCAAAAUGAGGGGAAAAAUUUCAUUUACACUUGGACUGCCUACUUCGUACAACUGUAAAAAAUAGAGGGCAGGGGUUCAUAACUUUCUAAAGCAUUCUGCAGUCGGAGGAGCAUUCUGCUAACACAGUAAGCCUCGUUUACUGAUAAGCCUCUGGAUGCAACUCUGUAAAGGGGAAAUCCCAACUUGGUAGAUAAUGGAUCUGAUCGUUUUUCUGGUAAACAUUAACAAAGAACUCCUGAAAACAAGUAUUUAUAAAGUCUCUAGUGUUAACUUGGUAAACAUUAAGCCUCUAGUGUUUGAUUAUAACAUCAACAAAGAACUCCUGAAAACAAGUAUAUAUAAAGUCCUAUUGAUGCAUCAAGGAGUAGUACGCAAAUUUAGCCUCUUGUACCCUAGCUCCAACCGUUUUUCUAAUAUUGAAACCUGGAUUGUGUUUUUGUCUAACAAAAAUGUCCAGGAAUUAUCACUUGCAUUUCUUAUAUGCUUUCGCCUUCCUUCUCACCUAUUCAAAUUUUCAGGAUCUAAAGCACCUGGAACUUAAUAAUUGUAAAUUCCACCCUCCUCCCAACUUUAAAGGUUUUCAAAGUUUUGUUACCCUUAAUUUUCAAGUUGUAACUUUCGAGCCCAUUACUUGAGCAUGUAUCGAUGGUUUGCUGCAGUGAUUUUGAUAGCUUCAUUAUUGAGGUCCCUAAUCUAAAAAUCUUUGAAUUCAGCGGCAGAGCAAAUUCCCUUUGCUUUAGAAGAACCCCUCUGCUUGAGGAAGUUGCAUUGGGCAUGCCUUUUAACAUGUUGGAGUCCUUUACCGUACCAGAGCCUCAGUUAACACUAGACAACAUCAAAAUUUUGAAUUUUAAGAAUUUGAUCUUUGCCAAGGUUGACUGGGUUACAUAUGUGCUUGACUUGAUCAGCCGCUUCCCCAACAUAGAAAGGCUUCUAAUUACUUCUGAUGCUUUAGAAGCGUGCGAGUGCAUGUACACAUCCCUUGCGAUAAAAAGAAAUGACACAAAGUGCAAUGAAGCGGCUCAAAAGCGUGGAUAUGACCCUCCUCUACUGGGUUGAUAAAACUGAAACAGAAUUCUUGAAGCAUGUAUUGGCAUAUGCAACUGCACUUGAGAAAAUAUACAUUGCAACUUCUGGAGAAAUCCGCCAUAGGGGAAUGAAAAUGAUGGAGGAGAUGAAGCGAUUCCCUCGAGCCUCACCUAAUGUAGAAUUUAUAUUUCAUUCAUAAGCUUGAUCUAUUUUUGUAGCAAUAACAAUAUUGUUUAUCCGAGAUUCCUAGUUUCUUUUUUAAUUUCAUUGUUUGUUUGAUCUCUUCAUAAAAAUAAAUAUGAAGUAUAAUUUUUGGAUGGAUGUUCCUCAUAAUUGAGUUUGUCAAUGUAAUAAAAAGAACCUAGAGAUUUCUGUAUGUGGUUGAAA
Non-coding RNA from Solanum lycopersicum (tomato), 7266 nucleotides. NCBI's taxonomy places the organism in Eukaryota, Viridiplantae, Streptophyta, Magnoliopsida, Solanales, Solanaceae. The record is from RefSeq and is a predicted model, not a curated record.